This 450-nucleotide ribosomal RNA is filed under the name uncultured bacterium. RNAcentral describes it as "partial 16S ribosomal RNA". It matches the Rfam family "Bacterial small subunit ribosomal RNA", at positions 354 to 796 of the family's 1533-position model. The record is from RNAcentral.
GUGGGGAAUUUUGGACAAUGGGCGCAAGCCUGAUCCAGCAAUGCCGCGUGCAGGAAGAAGGCCUUCGGGUUGUAAACUGCUUUUGUACGGAACGAAACGGUCCGGGUUAAUACCCUGGGCUAAUGACGGUACCGUAAGAAUAAGCACCGGCUAACUACGUGCCAGCAGCCGCGGUAAUACGUAGGGUGCAAGCGUUAAUCGGAAUUACUGGGCGUACAGCGUGCGCAGGCGGUUUUGUAAGACAGGCGUGAAAUCCCCGGGCUCAACCUGGGAAUUGCGCUUGUGACUGCAAGGCUGGAGUGCGGCAGAGGGGGAUGGAAUUCCGCGUGUAGCAGUGAAAUGCGUAGAUAUGCGGAGGAACACCGAUGGCGAAGGCAAUCCCCUGGGCCUGCACUGACGCUCAUGCACGAAAGCGUGGGGAGCAAACAGGAUUAGAAACCCCGGUAGUCC